CGUCCGCCGGACUCGGAAUGCCGCGAGACUUUGCGAGGGGCCUCCGUGUGCCAAAAAUCGGCUGUGGUCAAAGCCGCGCCCAAAAAUAACCACCCGAAGGCCGGGGCUCCAAGUUCGUCCAGCGGAAAAAGGCCACAAAAACGGGUGGGCUAUAGCCUUGGGGGGUGGAGCUGGCCCACUUCAACCGCCGGACUCGGAAUGCCGCGAGACUUUGCGAGGGGCCUCCGUGUGCCAAAAAUAGGCCGCGGGCAAAGCCGCGUCCAAAAAUAACCACCCGAAGGCCGGGCCGCCAAGUUCGUCCAGCGGAAAAAGGCCACAAAAACGGGUGGGCUAUAGCCUUGGGGGGUGGGGCUGGCCCACUUCGUCCGCCGGACUCGGAAUGGCGCGAGACUUUGCGAGGGCCCUCCGUGUGCCAAAAAUAGGCCGCGGGCACAGCCGCGCCCAAAAAUAACCGCUCGAAGGCCGGGGCGCCAAGUUCGUCCAGCGGAAAAAGGCCACAAAAACGGGUGGGCUAUAGCCUUGCGGGGUGGGGCCGGCCCACUUCGUCCGCCGGACUCGGAAUGGCGCGAGACUUUGCGAGGCGCCUCCGUGUGCCAAAAAUAGGCCGCGGGCAAAGCCGCGUCCCAAAAUAACCGCCCGAAGGCCGGGGCGCCAAGUUCGUCCCGCGGAAAAAGGCCACAAAAACGGGAGCGCUAUAGCCUUGGGGGGUGGGGCUGGCCAACUUCGUCCGCCGG
This 734-nucleotide long non-coding RNA is filed under the name Citrus x clementina. RNAcentral describes it as "Citrus clementina (C. clementina) long non-coding RNA (CCLE_LNC005838)". The record is from RNAcentral. Lineage: Eukaryota; Viridiplantae; Streptophyta; Magnoliopsida; Sapindales; Rutaceae.